This 459-nucleotide ribosomal RNA is filed under the name uncultured bacterium. RNAcentral's name for it is "partial 16S ribosomal RNA". It matches the Rfam family "Bacterial small subunit ribosomal RNA", at positions 338 to 795 of the family's 1533-position model. The record is from RNAcentral.
CCUACGGGUGGCAGCAGUGAGGAAUAUUGGUCAAUGGGCGCAAGCCUGAACCAGCCAAGUCGCGUGAGGGAUGAAGGUUCUAUGGAUCGUAAACCUCUUUUAUAAGGGAAUAAAGUGUGGGACGUGUCCUAUUUUGUAUGUACCUUAUGAAUAAGGAUCGGCUAACUCCGUGCCAGCAGCCGCGGUAAUACGGAGGAUCCGAGCGUUAUCCGGAUUUAUUGGGUUUAAAGGGUGCGUAGGCGGAAGGUUAAGUCAGCGGUAAAAUGUCGGUGCUCAACACCGGCCUGCCGUUGAAACUGGUCUUCUUGAGUGAGCGAGAAGUAUGCGGAAUGCGUGGUGUAGCGGUGAAAUGCAUAGAUAUCACGCAGAACUCCGAUUGCGAAGGCAGCAUACCGGCGCUCAACUGACGCUGAGGCACGAAAGCGUGGGGAUCGAACAGGAUUAGAUACCCGUGUAGUC